This 72-nucleotide transfer RNA is filed under the name Patescibacteria group bacterium. Its description in RNAcentral is "tRNA-Arg". It matches the Rfam family "tRNA". From Rfam's summary of the family: Transfer RNA (tRNA) molecules are approximately 80 nucleotides in length. The record is from RNAcentral.
GCCCCUGUAGUUCAACGGAUAGAACACAAGUUUUCUAAACUUGGAAUAGGGGUCCGAUUCCUCUCAGGGGCA